Malaclemys terrapin pileata is the source of this 432-nucleotide long non-coding RNA. RefSeq lists it as uncharacterized. The record is from RefSeq and is a predicted model, not a curated record. NCBI's taxonomy places the organism in Eukaryota, Metazoa, Chordata, Testudines, Emydidae. The transcript has 4 exons.
CAGCACCGUCAAGUGGAUUGAGCGGAAGACGGGGCAUCGGGGGUCUGCAUUUUGAGAUACAAAUUUUAUACCCGAGGGACCUGUUACAUCCCUGUGCAUGUGGGACUCCCAGUGGAGAUUAGACCUUCUGCAAGGACUGCAGAACCGUGCAAUACAGAAGAGAAAACUGGUGCUUUCCACUGUUCCAAGCCCUUCUAUGGAUGAAAUGGCACCGCCAGACUAACACAUACUGUAGCAUCUGUCAGAUAGACACACAGAAGCUUCAUCAACAAUCAAGGCUAACAUCAGCCUCCUCUAACCAGCCGGCUAGGGAAAUGAAUGGAAAGGCUCCUGCCCCAGUACUGACCUAGUGCUCCAGGAUGAUGCAGGGGGCUGCUGGAGGUGCCAUCGUUCUGACCCCUACAUCAAACCAAGGUCCUGUCUCCCAAGAUC